AAAAUUUAUUAUAAUUUUUUUUUGUUUAAAUUUUAAUUAAAAUAAUAUUAAGUAUUUAAAGUUUAAGUAUAGUUUAUAGAAAAAAUAAUUUGAAUUAUAGUUGAUUUGUAUUGUAAAAGAUAAUUGAAAUAUAAAUAUAAUUUAUUUAAAAGUAAAAUUUAGUUUUUGUACCUUGUGUAUCAGGGUUUAUUAAAUAAAUAUUAUUUAUUAUAAUUUUCUCGAAUUUAAGAGAGCUAAUAAAUUAUUUUUUUUAUUGUAAAAAAAAUAUUUAUAAUAAUUUAUUAGUAAUGAAACGUUAUUCGUUCUUAAAUAUAUCUAGUUUAUUUAGAAAUGAAUUUAAUUCAGAUAUAUAAAUUUUAUUAUGUUAAUUUUUUAAUUUAAUAAUAUAUAUAUAUUAAUAAUUAAAGGGAUAAGCUUUUAAUUAAAAAUUUAUAAAUUAAUAUUAAAAAAAUAAAAAAUGUAAGUUUAGAAAUAUCUAUCAUUUAUAAUUUGUUAUAAUUAAUUUAAUUUAAGUUAAUAUUUUAUAUAUAAUUUUAAAUUUUUUAUAAAUAAGUAAUUUUUAAUAAUUUAAAUUUAGUUAUAAUGAUAAAAUUAGUAUAUAAACAUGUUUAUAUAAUUUAUUAUAAAAGAUUAUAUAAAGGAAUUCGGCAAAAAUUUUACUCGCCUGUUUAACAAAAACAUGUCUUUUUGAAGUAUAUAUAAAGUCUAACCUGCCCACUGAAUAAUUUUAAAUGGCCGCAGUAUUUUGACUGUGCAAAGGUAGCAUAAUCAUUAGUUUCUUAAUUAGGAGCUUGUAUGAAAGGUUGGACGAGGUAAAAUCUGUCUCUAUAUAAAUUAAAAUAGAAUUUAAUUUUUAAGUUAAAAAGCUUAAAUUUUUUUAAAAGACGAGAAGACCCUAUAGAACUUUAUAGUUAGACUAAUUAAAUUAAUUUUGAUUAUUUUAGAUUUAUUUAGUUUAAUUAUUUUAUUGGGGUAAUAGAAAGAUUUAAUUAAUUCUUUUUUUGUAUAACAUUAAUUUAUGAUUUUAAUGAUCCAUUAUUAUUGAUUAUAAGAUUAAGUUACCUUAGGGAUAACAGCGUAAUUUUUUUAGAGAGUUCAUAUCGAUAAAAAAGUUUGCGACCUCGAUGUUGGAUUAAAGAUUAAUUUAGGUGUAGAAGUUUAAAUAUUUGGUCUGUUCGACCAUUGAAUCUUUACAUGAUCUGAGUUCAGAUCGGCGUAAGCCAGGUCGGUUUCUAUCUUUAAAUAAUUAAAAUAUUUUAGUACGAAAGGACCAAAUAUUUGAUAUAUUAAUAUUUAUUUUUUUGAAUAUUAU
RNAcentral lists this ribosomal RNA (1312 nucleotides) under Galerita orientalis. Its description in RNAcentral is "16S ribosomal RNA". The stretch from base 1069 to 1227 matches the Rfam family "Archaeal large subunit ribosomal RNA", at positions 2542 to 2701 of the family's 2987-position model. Lineage: Eukaryota; Metazoa; Arthropoda; Insecta; Coleoptera; Carabidae. The record is from RNAcentral.